This 443-nucleotide ribosomal RNA is filed under the name uncultured bacterium. Its description in RNAcentral is "partial 16S ribosomal RNA". It matches the Rfam family "Bacterial small subunit ribosomal RNA", at positions 338 to 795 of the family's 1533-position model. The record is from RNAcentral.
CCUACGGGAGGCAGCAGUGAGGAAUAUUGGUCAAUGGAGGAAACUCUGACCCAGCAACGCCGCGUGAAUGAUGAAGGUCUUCGGAUUGUAAAGUUCUUUUCUAAGGGAAGAAGAAAGUGACGGUACCUUAGGAAUAAGCCUCGGCUAACUACGUGCCUGCAGCCGCUGUAAUACGUAGGCGGCAAGCGUUAUCCGGAAUGACUGGGCGUAAAGGUUGAGUAGGUGGGUUGACAAGUUGGUAGCGUAACUCCGGGGGUCAACCCCUGCAGUACUACCGAAACUGUCGGACUUGAGUGCAGGAGAGGUAUAUGGAAUGCCUGGUGUAGCGGUGGAAUGCAUAGAUAUUAGGAGGAACACCAGUGGCGAAGGCGAUUUGCUGGCCUGUAACUGACACUGAGGCACGAAAGCGUGGGGAGCAAACAGGAUUAGAUACCCUAGUAGUC